RNA transcript from Acanthopagrus latus (yellowfin seabream), 2382 nucleotides. It is a transcript of the gene named homeodomain-interacting protein kinase 1-like, with no coding region annotated. The transcript is spliced from 11 exons. The record is from RefSeq and is a predicted model, not a curated record. NCBI's taxonomy places the organism in Eukaryota, Metazoa, Chordata, Actinopteri, Spariformes, Sparidae.
AACGGGGCGGAGCUUGGAGCGGGAAUCAAAGUAACAGGUGUGACGUGGUACAGUUCUUAAUGACUGACUACCUAACUGCCAUCAAGCUUACAGAUAUACCCCAGAAGUGAUCCAGAGAAGUUAACAGCCUUCAGUCAUCGUGAUACAGAGAGAAAUGGCACCGACUAAAGCCGCUGCUGCUUGCCCCUACGAACUCCCCAGCAAGUAUAAGUUCCUGAAAGUCCUUGGAGAGGGCGUCUUUGGAACGGUCCUGAAAUGUUUGGACAAGGAGACCAGUGAGACGGUGGCUAUAAAGUUUCCUAACUGCCAGGGCCAACAAACCUGGAACGAGAUUGCCAUGCUGAAAAAGAUCAAGGGCCUCAAGCUUGACAAACACAACAUUGUCAAGUUUAUCGAUUGUUUUCCGACCACCCUUGGAAAGGCGAUUGUGUUUGAGCUAUUGGACAUCAGCCUUUAUGACUACAUGGAGAAGAGAAAUGAUGCCCCGAUGCUCCUGAGUGACAUCAGAACCAUCAUCCAACAGAUGGCCACAGCGUUCAAAGCACUGAAGGAGAACCAGGUGAUCCACACUGACGUCAAGCUGGACAACAUAAUGAUGGUGAAUCACCGACGACGCCCAUUUGAAGUCAAGCUGAUAGACUUUGGUCUGGCCAUUGCCAGAUUAGAGGCCAGGACGGGCAGAACUCUGCAACCAGUAGCUUUUAGGUCCCCAGAAAUUAUCUUGGGCUGUCGAUAUUCUCAGGCCAUUGAUAUGUGGACCCUGGGCUGUGCCAUGUUCCAGAUGAUCUGCGGCCGCCUGCCGUUCUCAGGAGAAACUGAAUGUGAAAUAAUGUUGGGCAUUGUUGAACUCCUUGGUCAGCCAGCAGACGACGUUCUAGAAAAUGGUCGACAGACAAAGACUUUCUUCAACUUAAAUGACCAAGUGUGGAGGAUCAAGACUUACGCUGAGUGUUUUCCAGACCAGACAAGAACCAAAAAGAGCCACGAGUUCCAGUCUCUGGAUGAUCUGAAAGCAAUGCGUCUGGAGGAAAAAAACAAGACUGAGGCCGUGGAGCGAGAGCAGUGUGUCGAGCUCCUGAAGGCCAUGCUGAGGGUGGAUGCAAAGAAGAGGAUCACUCCCAAGAAAGUCCUCACUCAUCCAUUCAUCACAAAAGACCACCCGAACAAUGAUGCUUAGGCAUCAACAUCAGGUCCAGUUCAGAAGCCCAAGACCAACCAACAUAAGGAGAUGAGACCAAAGGCCGCGUGUUAAUUACAAGACUGCCACCACCAAGUCUUACUUUGGCUCAUCCUGCAGCAGCCAAAACACACAGCAGUGGAAGUUCUGGAGCGUACAGUUAGUGAGCUGAAGGGUAGGUGAGAUGUCUUCCUCUGGUCAUGACACACACUUAUCAGAUGAGACAUAGUUCAGCUCGCCAGAAUUAAUUGCAGAUCUGAGAGGAAGUUGACAUUAUUCUUUAAGACGUCAUAACAAUAACAUGAUGAUUCUGUGUGCGUGUGUUAUUUCAUGUUUUAUGUCCGUACUGAUGAGGUCAAGACAUCAAGGAGUUAAGGCUUCACCUCUUCGAGUCAGGACAGUGAAUGAUAGCCUACUUCUGCGCUCUGGAGGAUGAAGACAGCAGGACCAUCCAACCAGACGACUGCCCUCCAUCUCCAGAAAAGACUUUCAGCUGCCGUGUUUCCAGCGUCGAUGAGGAUUAGAGAUGUGUAAAUUAAUGUUCUGUGUACGGGUUCUUUGCAUGGCUUUCUGGGCUUCUGAUUUGUUUGCUCAUUCUUUCCGUGUUUGUCUGGUUUUCUCCGGUUGCUCCGUUUUUCCCACAAACAUAAAAUAUGUUUUGAAAAAAAAUAUGCAGCUCAUUUAGGGACAGAUCUGAUUGCAGACAAUCACACAUGUCAAUAUUUGCUUGGAAAAGCCCCCAUAUUGCCUGCAUGCCCUAUCACAGAAAUAUGGCACAUUCCCUCCCUUCAGUUUGCAGAUGAACUUCAGUUACAAAGACUCCGAGACAUAGAUGAGGAGGAGGAAGAAGAAAAAAGAAUUGCUUCAGACACAUUCUCUCUUGGUUGAGGGAGACUUCAGGCUGCUGUGUUUCCUGCGCUGAUGAGGAUUUGGGAUGUGUGAAGUGAAGUUCUGUGUUGGGUUUCUUUAGCAUGGUUUUAUGGGCUUCUCGGGAGUUGUGCGAUCAAAACCCUCAUAGAGCUUCCGAGGGCAGCAUGGUGGCUCAGUGGUCAAUUUUGGCAAAGCAGAAGGUACUGGCUUUUUCCAGCCCCCUUUCUGACUGUGUAAAGCUUGCUCAUUGGCCCCGUGUCUGCGUGGGUUUCCCCCGGGUUCUCCGGUUUCCUCCCACACUCAAUCAGUCAAUAAACAAUUACAUUGGAUUUUAA